This 818-nucleotide ribosomal RNA is filed under the name uncultured bacterium. Its description in RNAcentral is "bacterial SSU rRNA". It matches the Rfam family "Bacterial small subunit ribosomal RNA", at positions 620 to 1444 of the family's 1533-position model. The record is from RNAcentral.
AAAGUCAUAGAUACUGUUUUACUAGAGGACAGACGGGGGAAGUGGAAUUCCCGGUGUAGGGGUAAAAUCCGUUGAUAUCGGGAGGAACACCAGUGGCGAAAGCGACUUCCUAGACUGUUCCUAACACUGAGACACGAAAGCUAGGGGAGCGAAAGGGAUUAGAUACCCCUGUAGUCCUAGCCUUAAACGAUGGAUGUUAGACGUUAGAGGUAUCGACCCCUCUAGUGUCGCAGCGAAAGCGUUAAACAUCCCACCUGGGGAGUACGGCCGCAAGGUUAAAACUCAAAGGAAUUGACGGGGACCCGCACAAGCAGCGGAGCGUGUGGCUUAAUACGAUGCUACGCGUAGAACCUUACCAGAUCUUGACAUCCGACUAAUCUCUGUGAAAAUAGAGGUGUUCUUUUAGAACGAGUCGUGACAGGUGUUGCAUGGCUGUCGUCAGCUCGUGCCGUGAGGUGUAGAGUUAAGUCUCGUAACGAGCGCAACCCUUGUUGCAUGUUAAAUUUUUCAUGCGAAACUGCCAGGGAUAACCUGGAGGAAGGUGGGGAUGACGUCAAGUCAGUACGGCCCUUAUGAUCUGGGCGGCACACACGCUACAAUGGUCAGUACAAUGGGUUUAAUGCCAAACCGCGAGGUGGAGCUAAUCCCAUCAAAGCUGAUCUCAGUUCGGAUUGGAGUCUGAAACCCGACUCCAUGAAGCUGGAGUUGCUAGUAAACGCCGGUCAGCACACGGCGUUGAAUAUGUUCCCGGGUCUUGUACACACCGCCCGUCACACCACGAAAGUUGGCAACACCCGAAGCCGCUGUGCUAACCGCAA